RNAcentral lists this transfer RNA (87 nucleotides) under Treponema sp. RNAcentral describes it as "tRNA-Ser". It matches the Rfam family "tRNA". From Rfam's summary of the family: Transfer RNA (tRNA) molecules are approximately 80 nucleotides in length. Their secondary structure includes four short double-helical elements and three loops (D, anti-codon, and T loops). Further hydrogen bonds mediate the characteristic L-shaped molecular structure. tRNAs have two regions of fundamental functional importance: the anti-codon, which is responsible for specific mRNA codon recognition, and the 3' end, to which the tRNAs corresponding amino acid is attached (by aminoacyl-tRNA synthetases). tRNAs cope with the degeneracy of the genetic code in two manners: having more than one tRNA (with a specific anti-codon) for a particular amino acid; and 'wobble' base-pairing, i.e. permitting non-standard base-pairing at the 3rd anti-codon position. The record is from RNAcentral. Lineage: Bacteria; Pseudomonadati; Spirochaetota; Spirochaetia; Treponematales; Treponemataceae.
GGAGAGAUGCGAGAGUGGUUGAAUCGGGCGGUCUCGAAAACCGUUGAACUCGCAAGAGUUCCGAGGGUUCGAAUCCCUCUUUCUCCG